Molecule: ribosomal RNA, 746 nt
Filed under: uncultured Finegoldia sp.
Lineage: Bacteria; Bacillati; Bacillota; Tissierellia; Tissierellales; Peptoniphilaceae
Description: bacterial SSU rRNA
Rfam family: Bacterial small subunit ribosomal RNA
Source: RNAcentral
GACGAACGCUGGCGGCGUGCUUAACACAUGCAAGUCGAACGGGAUUUAGUAAACGGAAGCUUCGGUGGAAGAUUACUAAUGAGAGUGGCGAACGGGUGAGUAACGCGUGAGCAACCUGCCUAUGACAGUGGGAUAGCCUCGGGAAACCGGGAUUAAUACCGCAUAAAAUCGUAGAAACACAUGUUUUAACGGUCAAAGAUUUAUCGGUCAUAGAUGGGCUCGCGUCUGAUUAGCUAGUUGGUGAGAUAACAGCCCACCAAGGCGACGAUCAGUAGCCGGUCUGAGAGGAUGAACGGCCACAUUGGAACUGAGACACGGUCCAAACUCCUACGGGAGGCAGCAGUGGGGAAUAUUGCACAAUGGGGGAAACCCUGAUGCAGCGACGCCGCGUGAACGAAGAAGGUAUUCGUAUCGUAAAGUUCUGUCCUAUGGGAAGAUAAUGACAGUACCAUAGAAGAAAGCUCCGGCUAAAUACGUGCCAGCAGCCGCGGUAAUACGUAUGGAGCGAGCGUUGUCCGGAAUUAUUGGGCGUAAAGGGUACGCAGGCGGUUUAAUAAGUCGAAUGUUAAAGAUCGGGGCUCAACCCCGUAAAGCAUUGGAAACUGAUAAACUUGAGUAGUGGAGAGGAGAGUGGAAUUCCUAGUGUAGUGGUGAAAUACGUAGAUAUUAGGAGGAAUACCAGUAGCGAAGGCGACUUUCUGGACACAAACUGACGCUGAGGUACGAAAGCGUGGGGAGCAGACAGG